This 301-nucleotide ribosomal RNA is filed under the name uncultured bacterium. RNAcentral's name for it is "partial 16S ribosomal RNA". It matches the Rfam family "Bacterial small subunit ribosomal RNA", at positions 509 to 809 of the family's 1533-position model. The record is from RNAcentral.
CAGUAGCCACGGGAAUACGAAGGGUGCAAGCGUUACUCGGAAUUACUGGGCGUAAAGCGUGCGUAGGUGGUGGUUUAAGUCCGUUGUGAAAGCCCUGGGCUCAACCUGGGAAUUGCAGUGGAUACUGGGUCACUAGAGUGUGGUAGAGGAUAGUGGAAUUUCCGGUGUAGCAGUGAAAUGCGUAGAGAUCGGAAGGAACAUCUGUGGCGAAGGCGACUAUCUGGGCCAACACUGACACUGAGGCACGAAAGCGUGGGGAGCAAACAGGAUUAGAUACCCCAGUAGUCCCUGUCUCUUAUAA